RNAcentral lists this transfer RNA (75 nucleotides) under Bacteroides hominis. RNAcentral's name for it is "tRNA-Val". It matches the Rfam family "tRNA". Rfam says of the family: Transfer RNA (tRNA) molecules are approximately 80 nucleotides in length. Their secondary structure includes four short double-helical elements and three loops (D, anti-codon, and T loops). Further hydrogen bonds mediate the characteristic L-shaped molecular structure. tRNAs have two regions of fundamental functional importance: the anti-codon, which is responsible for specific mRNA codon recognition, and the 3' end, to which the tRNAs corresponding amino acid is attached (by aminoacyl-tRNA synthetases). tRNAs cope with the degeneracy of the genetic code in two manners: having more than one tRNA (with a specific anti-codon) for a particular amino acid; and 'wobble' base-pairing, i.e. permitting non-standard base-pairing at the 3rd anti-codon position. Lineage: Bacteria; Pseudomonadati; Bacteroidota; Bacteroidia; Bacteroidales; Bacteroidaceae. The record is from RNAcentral.
GGGCGUUUAGCUCAGCUGGUUCAGAGCAUCUGCCUUACAAGCAGAGGGUCGGCGGUUUGAAUCCGUCAACGCCCA